GAUGAACGCUGGCGGCGUGCCCAAUACAUGCAAGUCGAGCGAACAGACGAGGAGCUUGCUCCUUUGACGUUAGCGGCGGACGGGUGAGUAACACGUGGGUAACCUACCUAUAAGACUGGGAUAACUUCGGGAAACCGGAGCUAAUACCGGAUAAUAUUUCGAACCUCAUGGUUCGAUAGUGAAAGAUGGCUCUGCUAUCACUUAUAGAUGGACCUGCGCCGUAUUAGCUAGUUGGUAAGGUAACGGCUUACCAAGGCAACGAUACGUAGCCGACCUGAGAGGGUGAUCGGCCACACUGGAACUGAGACACGGUCCAGACUCCUACGGGAGGCAGCAGUAGGGAAUCUUCCGCAAAGGGCGAAAGCCUGACGGAGCAACGCCGCGUGAGUGAUGAAGGUCUUCGGAUCGUAAAACUCUGUUAUUAGGGAAGAACAAACGUGUAAGUAACUGUGCACGUCUUGACGGUACCUAAUCAGAAAGCCACGGCUAACUACGUG
RNAcentral lists this ribosomal RNA (497 nucleotides) under uncultured bacterium. RNAcentral describes it as "partial 16S ribosomal RNA". It matches the Rfam family "Bacterial small subunit ribosomal RNA", at positions 28 to 507 of the family's 1533-position model. The record is from RNAcentral.